RNAcentral lists this microRNA precursor (63 nucleotides) under Eisenia fetida (common brandling worm). RNAcentral's name for it is "Efe-Mir-1-P10_pre stem-loop". Lineage: Eukaryota; Metazoa; Annelida; Clitellata; Crassiclitellata; Lumbricidae. The record is from RNAcentral.
ACAUAUUUCUUUGCAGACCGUAAUGGCAUUCGAUAGCUUUAUGGAAUGUAAAGAAGUAUGCAA